UACGGGAGGCAGCAGUGGGGAAUAUUGUACAAUGGGCGCAAGCCUGAUGCAGCCAUGCCGCGUGUAUGAAGAAGGCCUUCGGGUUGUAAAGUACUUUCAGUCGUGAGGAAGGUGUUAAGGUUAAUAACCUUAGCAAUUGACGUUAGCGACAGAAGAAGCACCGGCUAACUCCGUGCCAGCAGCCGCGGUAAUACGGAGGGUGCGAGCGUUAAUCGGAAUUACUGGGCGUAAAGGGCACGCAGGCGGUUAAUUAAGUUGGAUGUGAAAUCCCCGGGCUUAACCUGGGAAUGGCAUUCAAGACUGGUUAGCUAGAGUCUUGUAGAGGGGGUAGAAUUCCAUGUGUAGCGGUGAAAUGCGUAGAGAUGUGGAGGAAUACCGGUGGCGAAGGCGGCCCCUGGACAAAGACUGACGCUCAUGUGCGAAAGCGUGGGGAGCAAACAGGGAUUAGAUACC
RNAcentral lists this ribosomal RNA (453 nucleotides) under uncultured bacterium. RNAcentral describes it as "bacterial SSU rRNA". It matches the Rfam family "Bacterial small subunit ribosomal RNA", at positions 340 to 786 of the family's 1533-position model. The record is from RNAcentral.